GCCUAACACAUGCAAGUCGAGCGAGCAGAACCAGCAGAUUUACUUCGGUAAUGACGCUGGGGACGCGAGCGGCGGAUGGGUGAGUAACACGUGGGGAACCUGCCCCAUAGUCUGGGAUACCACUUGGAAACAGGUGCUAAUACCGGAUAAGAAAGCAGAUCGCAUGAUCAGCUUAUAAAAGGCGGCGUAAGCUGUCGCUAUGGGAUGGCCCUGCGGUGCAUUAGCUAGUUGGUAAGGUAACGGCUUACCAAGGCGAUGAUGCAUAGCCGAGUUGAGAGACUGAUCGGCCACAUUGGGACUGAGACACGGCCCAAACUCCUACGGGAGGCAGCAGUAGNNNAAUCUUCCACAAUGGACGCAAGUCUGAUGGAGCAACGCCGCGUGAGUGAAGAAGGUUUUCGGAUCGUAAAGCUCUGUUGUUGGUGAAGAAGGAUAGAGGUAGUAACUGGCCUUUAUUUGACGGUAAUCAACCAGAAAGUCACGGCUAACUACGUGCCAGCAGCCGCGGUAAUACGU
Molecule: ribosomal RNA, 516 nt
Filed under: uncultured bacterium
Lineage: Bacteria
Description: bacterial SSU rRNA
Rfam family: Bacterial small subunit ribosomal RNA
Source: RNAcentral